This 247-nucleotide ribosomal RNA is filed under the name uncultured bacterium. RNAcentral's name for it is "partial 16S ribosomal RNA". It matches the Rfam family "Bacterial small subunit ribosomal RNA", at positions 335 to 599 of the family's 1533-position model. The record is from RNAcentral.
UACCUACGGGAGGCAGCAGUGGGGGCUCUUGCACCCUGGGGGGCACCCUGCUGCAGCGACGCCGCGUGGGUGAAGGAGUAUUUCGGUAUGUAAAGCCCUAUCGGCAGGGAAGAAGCAAGACGGUACCUGACUAAGAAGCCCCGGCUAACUACGUGCCAGCAGCCGCGGUAAUACGUAGGGGGCGAGCGUUAUCCGGAUUCACUGGGUGUAAAGGGAGCGUAGACGGCCAAGCAAGCCAGGGGUGAAA